AAGUCGUAACAAGGUAACCGUAGGUGAACCUGCGGUUGGAUCAUUAACCAAUUGACGGUCUUUUCAAAAGGCCUGUUAACACUUGUGAACUGUAUAUUGUCUCUGGCGGGUUAUGCUCGCCAGUUUAUAAACUAUUGUAUUAAACUUUUUGUCUAGAAAAUCUUGUUAUUAAAUAAACAACAACUUUUAACAACGGAUCUCUAGGCUCUC
Molecule: unclassified non-coding RNA, 210 nt
Filed under: fungal sp.
Lineage: Eukaryota; Fungi
Description: partial internal transcribed spacer region
Rfam family: Eukaryotic small subunit ribosomal RNA (bases 1-46)
Source: RNAcentral